UAUGCACGUUCAAUCACAUGAAAGCCCUUAGUUGUUUUUCCAGCAAAACAGAUUCAGGCCCUAAGAGGAAUGCUUAGAAAUUUAUUCUUUUAUAAUCCAUCAUCUUAUGCCACUUGUUGAAGCCAAAGUGGCACUGGACUAGUUAGGUGAAUCUGUUAACUAAGUCAAUAUUUGUGAUCAAAGUGAUGAGACGCAUCAAGCCAGGCAGAUUCUUGCAUUUGAAAUGAAACACAUACACACGCAGAUCUUUACAUGCAAACAGGGACAGGAUGUGCGCUCACUGUUAGGUUGCUAUCUCAGUUCAAAUCCAUACUCCACACAGUAUCCAAGAUACAUACUGCAUCU
This 345-nucleotide long non-coding RNA is filed under the name Bos taurus (domestic cattle). RNAcentral's name for it is "long non-coding RNA NONBTAT007391". The record is from RNAcentral. Lineage: Eukaryota; Metazoa; Chordata; Mammalia; Artiodactyla; Bovidae.